UACGAAGGGUGCAAGCGUUACUCGGAAUUACUGGGCGUAAAGCGUGCGUAGGUGGUUUGUUAAGUCUGAUGUGAAAGCCCUGGGCUCAACCUGGGAACGGCAUUGGAAACUGGCUUACUAGAGUGCGGUAGAGGGGUGUGGAAUUCCCGGUGUAGAGGUGAAAUUCGUAGAUAUCGGGAGGAACACCAGUGGCGAAGGCGGCGACCUGGACAGAUAUUGACGCUGAGGUGCGAAAGCGUGGGGAGCAAACAGG
Molecule: ribosomal RNA, 253 nt
Filed under: uncultured bacterium
Lineage: Bacteria
Description: partial 16S ribosomal RNA
Rfam family: Bacterial small subunit ribosomal RNA
Source: RNAcentral